This 207-nucleotide long non-coding RNA is filed under the name Musa acuminata (dwarf banana). Its description in RNAcentral is "long non-coding RNA (MACU_LNC011064)". Lineage: Eukaryota; Viridiplantae; Streptophyta; Magnoliopsida; Zingiberales; Musaceae. The record is from RNAcentral.
UAAGGUCGUGACAUUGUGGUAUCAGAGCGGGCAAGCACUUCGAGCGAACAGCGAACGAACUUCGCAACUUCACCAUGGCAAAGCAUCGUGGCGAAUCAAGCAAGACGGGGCAAGCCGGACCCUUGCCCCAAGCAGCCGCAGGUGGGCUGCAUGUGCACACUCGCUCUCAUGCUGUUGGAGCCGCUCAAGAGGAGCGCGGCAGCGAAC